This 1032-nucleotide long non-coding RNA is filed under the name Salvia miltiorrhiza (redroot sage). RNAcentral's name for it is "long non-coding RNA (SMIL_LNC014158)". Lineage: Eukaryota; Viridiplantae; Streptophyta; Magnoliopsida; Lamiales; Lamiaceae. The record is from RNAcentral.
UUCUCCCUAAAAAUCAAAUCAUUGAAUUCACUGCUCACACAACCCCAACCCCUUGCUACGCUAUCUUGCACUCUGCCAUGGAUUCGCCACCGCCAAUUCCUUCUCUCAACACUGCCGCCAACGACCGUGCCUUCGUCGCCGGACGCGUUCGUCAUCCGAAGUCUCGCCGGCGGAGACAGCUGACGGCGGCACUCGGCUGCCCAAGCCCCAAUUUCAUCCCCAAAUCCAUCCCUUCCUCCAUCGUCGAUGGCCCAUUCCGCCUCCCCGGCAUCGGGACCGAGUCGUAAUCUACCACAUAACAUUCCAGUUCUGCCACAGCAUACGCAUGAUUUUCCUGGGUUUCGCUUGAAAAUCUGACACCAGCAUUCCCUCCCUCCGCCGCCGCCGCGAUUCGCUGCACUCUGGCUGAUUCGCCACCACAAUUCGCCAUGGUAAGUAUUAUAUUAGGAAAGAUUACAAUUGACUAUAAUUACUGCUCAAUUUUAGAAAAAUCAAAUUUUGGAAAGAUUUACCUCUCCGUCAAGGGUUUAGGUUUAACAAUGGAAACUUAUUAUGUUAGGAAAGAUUACAUUUGACUAUGAUUAGUGCUCAAUUUUAGAAACUUAUUAUGUUAGGAAAGAUUACAUUUGACUAUGAUUAGUGCUUUUGGUAAUCUUUUUCUUACCAUUUGAUUUGAUGUUUGUUAAUCCUUAUAUUCGUAUGAUGUGUGUUGUGUUUUUGGUUUUCGAUUUAUUUAAAACCUAAGAAUAUAGAGUCUAAUUUUAUAGAACUUUAUCUGUUUGACAAUCUCAUUUGUAGGUUGUGACUCUUAUUGCGGCCCUCAAUCAACAUGUAUGCUUACUUUGUCAUUUGUAAUUGGAUUAGAUAUGUGUUUAAAAGAUUUAUUGAGCAGCUGUUUGAAGAGAGUAAUCACCUACAUACAUAUUUUGGAACCUCAGCCUCGAUAUUGACAACAGAUUUAUCAGAUUGCAUCCAAGAUAGUCUAUGAUAAGUAAUCUAUUCAUUUUUGGUGUUAGCUUUUCCCAAUACAUG